Athene cunicularia (burrowing owl) is the source of this 177-nucleotide long non-coding RNA. RefSeq lists it as uncharacterized. The record is from RefSeq and is a predicted model, not a curated record. Lineage: Eukaryota; Metazoa; Chordata; Aves; Strigiformes; Strigidae. The transcript is spliced from 3 exons.
CAAAUAUCACUUGACUUUGUGUGAGAGAUGAAAAACCAGGACUGCGAGAAAGUAAGAAAAACAGCCUGAGAAAGCAAAAGUUGAGGUUGAUCUAAGGAAUGCCUCAAACCCUCGAAAGACAAAAGUAUGAGUCAUGGGGUGUAUAGUGUGGAGGUCAAAGCUGAUAAGGCUGCCCAA